CGGGAUGUAGCGCAGCCCGGUAGCGCGCUCGGUUCGGGACCGAGAGGCCGGAGGUUCAAAUCCUCUCAUCCCGACCA
Molecule: transfer RNA, 77 nt
Filed under: Candidatus Cloacimonetes bacterium HGW-Cloacimonetes-1
Lineage: Bacteria; Pseudomonadati; Candidatus Cloacimonadota
Description: tRNA-Pro
Rfam family: tRNA
About the family: Transfer RNA (tRNA) molecules are approximately 80 nucleotides in length. Their secondary structure includes four short double-helical elements and three loops (D, anti-codon, and T loops).
Source: RNAcentral